CCUACGGGUGGCAGCAGUGAGGAAUAUUGGUCAAUGGCCGUAAGGCUGAACCAGCCAAGUCGCGUGAAGGAAGAAGGAUCUAUGGUUUGUAAACUUCUUUUAUAGGGGAAUAAAGGUAUCCACGUGUGGAUAUUUGCAUGUACCCUAUGAAUAAGCAUCGGCUAACUCCGUGCCAGCAGCCGCGGUAAUACGGAGGAUGCGAGCUUUAUCCGGAUUUGUUGGGUUUAUAGGGUGAUUAGGUUGUUUUUUAAGUCAGCGGGGAAAGUUUGUGGCUCAACCAUAAAAUUGCCGUUGAAACUGGAAGACUAGAGUGUGUUAGAGGUAGGCGGAAUGCGUGGUGUAGCGGUGAAAUGCAUAGAUAUAACGCAGAACUCCGAUUGCGAAGGCAGCUUACUAAGCCAUAACUGACACUGAGGCACGAAAGCGUGGGGAUCAAACAGGAUUAGAUACCCGAGUAGUC
This 460-nucleotide ribosomal RNA is filed under the name uncultured bacterium. RNAcentral's name for it is "partial 16S ribosomal RNA". It matches the Rfam family "Bacterial small subunit ribosomal RNA", at positions 338 to 795 of the family's 1533-position model. The record is from RNAcentral.